CCUACGGGAGGCAGCAGUGAGGAAUAUUGGUCAAUGGGCGGGAGCCUGAACCAGCCAAGCCGCGUGAGGGAAGAAGGUACAGCGUAUCGUAAACCUCUUUUGUCAGGGAACAAAGGCGGGGACUAGUCCCCGGAUGAGGGUACCUGAAGAAAAAGCAUCGGCUAACCCCGUGCCAACAGCCGCGGUAAUACGGAGGAUGCGAGCGUUAUCCGGAUUUAUGGGGUUUAAAGGGUGCACAGGGGGCCUGUUAAGUCAGCGGUAAAAGCCCGGGGCUCAACCCCGGCGAGCCGUUGAAACUGGCUGGCUGGAGUUGGAGAGAAGUACGCGGAAUGCGCGGUGUAGCGGUGAAAUGCUUAGAUAUCGCGCAGAACCCCGAUUGCGAAGGCAGCGUACGGGCUCCACACUGACGCUGAGGCACGAAAGCGUGGGUAUCGAACAGGAUUAGAUACCCUAGUAGUC
This 459-nucleotide ribosomal RNA is filed under the name uncultured bacterium. RNAcentral describes it as "partial 16S ribosomal RNA". It matches the Rfam family "Bacterial small subunit ribosomal RNA", at positions 338 to 795 of the family's 1533-position model. The record is from RNAcentral.